CUGCUCUAUGUAAUUAUUUAGGGUUAAACCUGCUCAAUGAUUAUUUAAAUAGCCGCAGUACAUUGACUGUGCAAAGGUAGCAUAAUCAAUUGGCUUAUAAUUGAAGUCUAGUAUGAAUGGGAACCCGGGGAAUAACUGUCUUAAUUAAGUAUAUAGAAAUUACUUAGUGAGUGAAAAAUCUCACAUAUAGAAGAAAGACGAGAAGACCCUAGAAAUUUUUUAAAGUAUAUAUUUUUAUAUUCUAUUUUGUUGGGGCGACAUAGUAACAGUUAACUUACUAAUUUAACAUGCUAUUUAUUAGUAGAAAGAAUAAAUUACUCUAGGGAUAACAGCAUAAUUCAAAUUUGAGUUUGUGACCUCGAUGUUGGACUAGGAAAUAAAUUAUUUAGAAGAUAAUUUAAUAGGCUCUGUUCGAGCCAUACUUUCCUAC
RNAcentral lists this ribosomal RNA (430 nucleotides) under Trochulus sp. NMBE 564609. RNAcentral describes it as "partial large subunit ribosomal RNA". It matches the Rfam family "Archaeal large subunit ribosomal RNA", at positions 1951 to 2668 of the family's 2987-position model. Lineage: Eukaryota; Metazoa; Mollusca; Gastropoda; Stylommatophora; Hygromiidae. The record is from RNAcentral.